This 258-nucleotide ribosomal RNA is filed under the name uncultured bacterium. RNAcentral describes it as "partial 16S ribosomal RNA". It matches the Rfam family "Bacterial small subunit ribosomal RNA", at positions 515 to 772 of the family's 1533-position model. The record is from RNAcentral.
CCGCGGUAAUACGGAGGGGGCAAGCGUUGCUCGGAAUUACUGGGCGUAAAGGGUCCGCAGGUGGCCUCGUAAGUUGAAUGUGAAAUCCCCGGGCUCAACCUGGGAAUUGCAUUGGAGACUGCAAGGCUAGAAUCUGGCAGAGGGGGGUAGAAUUCCACGUGUAGCAGUGAAAUGCGUAGAGAUGUGGAGGAACACCGAUGGCGAAGGCAGCCCCCUGGGUCAAGAUUGACGCUCAUGCACGAAAGCGUGGGGAGCAAA